Molecule: long non-coding RNA, 1566 nt
Organism: Cyprinus carpio (common carp)
Lineage: Eukaryota; Metazoa; Chordata; Actinopteri; Cypriniformes; Cyprinidae
Source: Ensembl
ACGCCAUCAGUGACUUGGAAGACAAUGAUCAUGCUUCCCAUGUGGAGCAUCAGAUGACAUGCACGUCCCUCAGUGAUCUCCCAGGAUCCCCUUCGGCCCACAGCAGUCAUCCCGCCUCGGAGCGCUGUCCAUGGGAGAUGGAGGUGCUCAUGGACCGAGAAGCCCAGGCCGCAAUGGUUGAGUCCGAUGGAAAUGCUUUAAGUGAGGAUGCGGCGAGAGAGACCGACCCUGUCAGGGAGCAAGCAGACGCUUCGAGAACUUUAGAGAAGGCAGAUAGUGGAGGCGGUUUGACGGAGAGUUACCAAUGCGUGGUUGUCACGGCACCCUUGAUGGACAGGCAGGAGAGGGAGGAUGCAGCAAGCUGUUCUAGAGAAGGUGGGGCGGAGGGCGUCCCAUCGCUGGCAGCCGCCCCAGCGCAGAGCCGCCUGUUUGAGAGUCAGGACCUGCAGACGGUGAUGGGCGGAUGUGAGCUGCCGGAUCAGCGCUCCACACUGGAAGGAUCUCAACUGAUCAUUAUUACAGGCCCAAGUUACGAGGCUCUGGCGUCUGAAGGCCUUCAGCUGAACGUGGGUGGCGGUGAUGUUGAGGAGGUCACAUGUACGCUGAUCGAGGAUGUGUCGUAUAAUCAGAUGUGUCAGUCACGUCCCAGCGCCGAUCUGGCUGAGAAGCAGUUCUUGGAUCCCAGUGAAGAAACGCACUGUUCCAAAGAGCUUCAGCAGUCUCUCAGUAGGUGUAAGCGGAGCCGGCGGGGUCCAGUAAUCGAGGCAGACGGCAUGCUGAAGAUGUUUCACUGUCCGUAUGAAGGCUGCAGGCAGGUGUAUGUGGCCAUUAGCAGUUUCCAGGUGAGCUCGUGUGCAGUGAAUGCCGGAGAAUCCCUCAGAGCACCAACCAAUGCCACAGUACAACACUUAAAAAUAGAAGCUGGAAAAUUAGACACUGGGAAACACAUUGAUGUAACCUGACCAGGUGCUUUGUCUGGUUUAUUUAUCAAGUCAAAGGAAACGUUCUAAUGGCUCUUAAUUGCUUGGUGCACCUUAGUAACAGGAAGUAAAAUCUCCCUACAUGUAGGAUGGGUUAAAUAUUGUAAACAUUGGAAUGUAAAUCUGCUAAAUAUUUAUAGAGUUGGUUAAUUUUUGCUUAUCAGAUUAAUCGCAUUGAUAACGCUGCCCUGCAUCAUGUUGAACCAAAUCAAAUACUUGUUUCUUAUUAAUUUUGAGGUGUUGAUUGCCAAACAAUAGUGCCUGUUUUGCUUGAGCACAUCACACUUUCUCACAAAAUAUGAUGCAUUUCGUAGCAUUUUUGCUUUAGACAAUCAUUUGUACAGUGAAGAGGUCAUGUUUUAUUCUGAGGACAUUGUUUUAUGCCUAAUCCUGAUUUCAAGGUAAGAAUUAUGGACAGUGACUGAAGAAAAUGCAAACAUGAGCUAGAUAUUUUCUGCUACAUCUGUGAGUUUUUCUACAUUCAAACAGUGAUAGAAAAUUACAGAUUUGACACUAAAUGGAAUUAAACAUUUAAAUGAUAAAUAUAUACACUACACUAUAUAUACACUUUGAUACUAAAUUGAAU